UCUCUUUGUUCUGUGGGCGGGUUGGCAGUAUGGGUGGGUUCGCUCGGCACGCCUGGCGCAUUCUGCCGAGGCUGCAGUUCAGUGUCUGGAAGACGCUUUGGGGUAUCUAUCCGCCUGCAGGCCCUUGAUCUUCGCAGGCGGGUCCGCAGCGCGGCGAUGGGGUUUUAAGACGUUCAUCGAUGUGUGAUCCUUAAAUAAAGUAUGAGAGCUCUGCAAGCCCAGCUGGGGGCAGUGCACCUUCACAGAGAUUCUGAGCUAACCUCAAGACUGAAAACUUAAGGUUUUGGAAUCUACCCCUUUGGAGACUGUUGGAAUGCUUAGGAUUUUGCUGACCCAAAGGAUGGCCUCUGAUGUUAUACAGUUCCUAUGAAUGUAACACCUUACCUGUGUUAAACUGAGCAGCUGCCAGUGGGCAAAAAACUGUCUAGAAAUUUUGGGACGCUAAGUAGACACUAUUUGCUUGUGUUUUGUCUUAUACAAGUACAUGGUUUUCUUCUUAAAGUUUCAAUAAACUAUUUUAAAGCAA
This is a long non-coding RNA of Sciurus carolinensis (gray squirrel), 526 nucleotides long. RefSeq lists it as uncharacterized. The transcript is spliced from 5 exons. Lineage: Eukaryota; Metazoa; Chordata; Mammalia; Rodentia; Sciuridae. The record is from RefSeq and is a predicted model, not a curated record.